This 19-nucleotide small nuclear RNA is filed under the name Arabidopsis thaliana (thale cress). Its description in RNAcentral is "snRNA_07979". Lineage: Eukaryota; Viridiplantae; Streptophyta; Magnoliopsida; Brassicales; Brassicaceae. The record is from RNAcentral.
ACUCCGCAGUUAAGCGUGC